This 418-nucleotide ribosomal RNA is filed under the name uncultured Gammaproteobacteria bacterium. RNAcentral describes it as "bacterial SSU rRNA". It matches the Rfam family "Bacterial small subunit ribosomal RNA", at positions 9 to 429 of the family's 1533-position model. The record is from RNAcentral. Lineage: Bacteria; Pseudomonadati; Pseudomonadota; Gammaproteobacteria.
GAGUUUGAUCGUGGCUCAGAUUGAACGCUGGCGGCAGGCCUAACACAUGCAAGUCGAGCGGUAACAGGAGAGCUUGCUCUCGCUGACGAGCGGCGGACGGGUGAGUAACGCGUAGGAAUCUACCCAGUAGCGGGGGAUAGCCCGGGGAAACUCGGAUUAAUACCGCAUACGCCCUAUGGGGGAAAGCAGGGGAUCUUCGGACCUUGCACUAUUGGAAGAGCCUGCGUUGGAUUAGCUAGUUGGUAGGGUAAAGGCCUACCAAGGCGACGAUCCAUAACUGGUCUGAGAGGAUGAUCAGUCACACCGGAACUGAGACACGGUCCGGACUCCUACGGGAGGCAGCAGUGGGGAAUAUUGGACAAUGGGGGCAACCCUGAUCCAGCCAUGCCGCGUGUGUGAAGAAGGCCUCGGUUGUAAG